RNAcentral lists this ribosomal RNA (450 nucleotides) under uncultured bacterium. RNAcentral's name for it is "partial 16S ribosomal RNA". It matches the Rfam family "Bacterial small subunit ribosomal RNA", at positions 354 to 796 of the family's 1533-position model. The record is from RNAcentral.
GUGGGGAAUCUUCCGCAAUGGACGAAAGUCUGACGGAGCAACGCCGCGUGAGUGAAGAAGGUUUUCGGAUCGUAAAGCUCUUUCGUUAGGGACGAACGUGCUCUUUGUGAAUAAUGAGGAGUAAUGACGGUACCUAAAUAAGAAGCCACGGCUAACUACGUGCCAGCAGCCGCGGUAAUACGUAGGUGGCAAGCGUUGUCCGGAAUUAUUGGGCGUAAAGCGCGCGCAGGCGGGAUAUCAAGUCUGUCUUAAAAGUGCGAGGCUCAACCUCGUGAGGGGACAGAAACUGGUAUUCUUGAGUGUCGGAGAGGAAAGUGGAAUUCCAAGUGUAGCGGUGAAAUGCGUAGAGAUUUGGAAGAACACCAGUGGCGAAGGCGACUUUCUGGACGAUGUCUGACGCUGAGGCGCGAAAGCUAGGGGAGCGAACGGGAUUAGAUACCCGUGUAGUCA